RNAcentral lists this ribosomal RNA (1315 nucleotides) under metagenome. RNAcentral describes it as "bacterial SSU rRNA". It matches the Rfam family "Bacterial small subunit ribosomal RNA", at positions 169 to 1498 of the family's 1533-position model. The record is from RNAcentral.
CCGGAUACGAGACGAAGAGGCAUCUCUAUCGUCUGGAAAGUUUUUCGGUCUGGGAUGGACUCGCGGCCUAUCAGCUUGUUGGUGAGGUAACGGCUCACCAAGGCGACGACGGGUAGCCGGCCUGAGAGGGCGACCGGCCACACUGGGACUGAGACACGGCCCAGACUCCUACGGGAGGCAGCAGUGGGGAAUAUUGCACAAUGGGCGAAAGCCUGAUGCAGCGACGCCGCGUGAGGGAUGACGGCCUUCGGGUUGUAAACCUCUUUCAGCAGGGAAGAAGCGCAAGUGACGGUACCUGCAGAAGAAGCACCGGCUAACUACGUGCCAGCAGCCGCGGUAAUACGUAGGGUGCGAGCGUUGUCCGGAAUUAUUGGGCGUAAAGAGCUUGUAGGCGGUUUGUCGCGUCUGCUGUGAAAAUCCGGGGCUCAACUCCGGACUUGCAGUGGGUACGGGCAGACUAGAGUGUGGUAGGGGAGACUGGAAUUCCUGGUGUAGCGGUGGAAUGCGCAGAUAUCAGGAGGAACACCGAUGGCGAAGGCAGGUCUCUGGGCCAUAACUGACGCUGAGAAGCGAAAGCAUGGGGAGCGAACAGGAUUAGAUACCCUGGUAGUCCAUGCCGUAAACUUGGGCGCUAGGUGUGGGGCUCAUUCCACGAGUUCCGUGCCGCAGCUAACGCAUUAAGCGCCCCGCCUGGGGAGUACGGCCGCAAGGCUAAAACUCAAAGGAAUUGACGGGGGCCCGCACAAGCGGCGGAGCAUGCGGAUUAAUUCGAUGCAACGCGAAGAACCUUACCAAGGCUUGACAUAUACCGGAAACACCCAGAGAUGGGUGCCCCGCAAGGUCGGUAUACAGGUGGUGCAUGGUUGUCGUCAGCUCGUGUCGUGAGAUGUUGGGUUAAGUCCCGCAACGAGCGCAACCCUCGUUCUAUGUUGCCAGCGCGUUAUGGCGGGGACUCAUAGGAGACUGCCGGGGUCAACUCGGAGGAAGGUGGGGAUGACGUCAAAUCAUCAUGCCCCUUAUGUCUUGGGCUUCACGCAUGCUACAAUGGCCGGUACAAAGGGCUGCGAUACCGCGAGGUGGAGCGAAUCCCAAAAAACCGGUCUCAUUUCGGAUUGGGGUCUGCAACUCGACCCCAUGAAGUCGGAGUCGCUAGUAAUCGCAGACCAGCAACGCUGCGGUGAAUGCGUUCCCGGGCCUUGUACACACCGCCCGUCAAGUCACGAAAGUCGGUAACACCCGAAGCCGGUGGCCCAACCCUUGUGGAGGGAGCCGUCGAAGGUGGGACUGGCGAUUGGGACUAAGUCGAAACAAGGUA